Molecule: ribosomal RNA, 497 nt
Filed under: uncultured bacterium
Lineage: Bacteria
Description: partial 16S ribosomal RNA
Rfam family: Bacterial small subunit ribosomal RNA
Source: RNAcentral
GAUGAACGCUGGCGGCGUGCCUAAUACAUGCGAGUCGAGCGAAUAGACGAGGAGCUUGCUCCUCUGACGUUAGCGGCGGACGGGUGAGUAACACGUGGAUAACCUACCUAUAAGACUGGGAUAACUUCGGGAAACCGGAGCUAAUACCGGAUAAUAUAUUGAACCGCAUGGUUCAAUAGUGAAAGACGGUUUUGCUGUCACUUAUAGAUGGAUCCGCGCCGCAUUAGCUAGUUGGUAAGGUAACGGCUUACCAAGGCGACGAUGCGUAGCCGACCUGAGAGGGUGAUCGGCCACACUGGAACUGAGACACGGUCCAGACUCCUACGGGAGGCAGCAGUAGGGAAUCUUCCGCAAUGGGCGAAAGCCUGACGGAGCAACGCCGCGUGAGUGAUGAAGGUCUUCGGAUCGUAAAACUCUGUUAUUAGGGAAGAACAAAUGUGUAAGUAACUAUGCACGUCUUGACGGUACCUAAUCAGAAAGCCACGGCUAACUACGUG